UCCAAGUUGCUUCGGCGGCGCGGCACCCCUUAACGGGGGCGCCGCAGCCCUGCCUCUCCGGAGGUCCGGGGCGCCCGCCGGAGGUACGAAACUCUGUAUUAUAGUGGCAUCUCUGAGUAUAAAACAAAUAAGUUAAAACUUUCAACAACGGAUCUCUUGGUUCUGGCAUCGAUGAAGAACGCAGCGAAAUGCGAUAAGUAAUGUGAAUUGCAGAAUUCAGUGAAUCAUCGAAUCUUUGAACGCACAUUGCGCCCGGUAGUACUCUACCGGGCAUGCCUGUUCGAGCGUCAUUUCAACCCUCAAGCCCUGCUUGGUGUUGGGGCCCUACGGCUGCCGUAGGCCCUGAAAGGAAGUGGCGGGCUCGCUACAACUCCGAGCGUAGUAAUUCAUUAUCUCGCUAGGGAGGUUGCGGCGUGCUCCUGCCGUUAAAGACCCAUCUUUAACCAAGGUUGACCUCGGAUCAGGUAGGAAUACCCGCUGAACUUAAGCAUAUCAAUAAGCGGAGGAAAAGAAACCAACAGGGAUUGCCCUAGUAACGGCGAGUGAAGCGGCAACAGCUCAAAUUUGAAAUCUGGCUUCGGCCCGAGUUGUAAUUUGUAGAGGAUGCUUUUGGUGAGGUGCCUUCUGAGUUCCCUGGAACGGGACGCCAGAGAGGGUGAGAGCCCCGUAUAGUCGGCCACCGAUCCUUUGUAAAGCUCCUUCGACGAGUCGAGUAGUUUGGGAAUGCUGCUCAAAAUGGGAGGUAUAUCUCUUCUAAAGCUAAAUAUAGGCCAGAGACCGAUAGCGCACAAGUAGAGUGAUCGAAAGAUGAAAAGCACUUUGAAAAGAGGGUUAAAUAGCACGUGAAAUUGUUGAAAGGGAAGCGCUUGUGACCAGACUUGUGCCGGGCUGAUCAUCCAGUGUUCUCACUGGUGCACUCGACCCGGCUCAGGCCAGCGUCGGUUUUCGUGGGGGGAUAAAAGCUUCGGGAACGUGGCACCUUCGGGUGUGUUAUAGCCCGUUGCUUAAUACCUCCGUGGAGACCGA
RNAcentral lists this ribosomal RNA (1026 nucleotides) under Sordariomycetes sp. genotype 32. RNAcentral describes it as "eukaryotic LSU rRNA". The stretch from base 451 to 1026 matches the Rfam family "Eukaryotic large subunit ribosomal RNA", at positions 1 to 589 of the family's 3401-position model. Lineage: Eukaryota; Fungi; Ascomycota; Sordariomycetes. The record is from RNAcentral.